UACGGAGGGUGCAAGCGUUGUCCGGAUUUAUUGGGCUUAAAGGGUGCGUAGGCGGCCUUGUAAGUCAGUGGUGAAAGCCCAUCGCUCAACGAUGGAACUGCCAUUGAUACUGCAAGGCUUGAGUACAGACGAGGUUGGCGGAAUUGAUUGUGUAGCGGUGAAAUGUAUAGAUACAAUCAAGAACACCGAUUGCGUAGGCAGCUAACUAGGCUGUAACUGACGCUGAGGCACGAAAGCGUGGGGAGCGAACAGG
This 253-nucleotide ribosomal RNA is filed under the name uncultured bacterium. RNAcentral describes it as "partial 16S ribosomal RNA". It matches the Rfam family "Bacterial small subunit ribosomal RNA", at positions 524 to 776 of the family's 1533-position model. The record is from RNAcentral.